This 468-nucleotide ribosomal RNA is filed under the name uncultured bacterium. RNAcentral describes it as "partial 16S ribosomal RNA". It matches the Rfam family "Bacterial small subunit ribosomal RNA", at positions 28 to 507 of the family's 1533-position model. The record is from RNAcentral.
GACGAACGCUGGCGGCGUGCUUAACACAUGCAAGUCGAACGGAAAGGCCCUGCUUUUGUUGGUUGCUCGAGUGGCGAACGGGUGAGUAACACGUGAGUAACCUGCCCUUGACUUUUGGAUAACUUCAGGAAACUGGGGCUAAUACCGGAUAUGCGCUCCUGCUGCAUGGUGGGGGUUGGAUAGUUUCGGCGGUUGGGGAUGGACUCGCGGCUUAUCAGCUUGUUGGUGGGGUAGUGGCUUACCAAGGCUUUGACGGGUAGCCGGCCUGAGAGGGUGACCGGCCACAUUGGGACUGAGAUACGGCCCGGACUCCUACGGGAGGCAGCAGUGGGGAAUAUUGCACAAUGGGCGGAAGCCUGAUGCAGCAACGCCGCGUGCGGGAUGACGGCCUUCGGGUUGUAACCCGCUUUCGCCUGUGACGAAGCGUGAGUGACGGUAAUGGGUAAAGAAGCACCGGCUAACUACGUG